AGAACGAACGCUGGCGGCAGGCUUAACACAUGCAAGUCGAACGCUUCACCUUCGGGUGGGGAGUGGCAGACGGGUGAGUAACACGUGGGAACGUACCCUUUGGUUCGGAAUAACCCUGGGAAACUAGGGCUAAUACCGGAUACGGCCGAGAGGCGAAAGGUUUACCGCCGGAGGAACGGCCCGCGUCCGAUUAGCUUGUUGGUGAGGUAAUGGCUCACCAAGGCGACGAUCGGUAGCUGGU
RNAcentral lists this ribosomal RNA (241 nucleotides) under uncultured bacterium. Its description in RNAcentral is "partial small subunit ribosomal RNA". It matches the Rfam family "Bacterial small subunit ribosomal RNA", at positions 26 to 291 of the family's 1533-position model. The record is from RNAcentral.